CCUCCAGACUCCUACGGGAGGCAGCAGUGGGGAAUAUUGCACAAUGGGCGCAAGCCUGAUGCAGCCAUGCCGCGUGUGUGAAGAAGGCCUUCGGGUUGUAAAGCACUUUCAGCGGGGAGGAAGGCGUUAAGGUUAAUAACCUUGGCGAUUGACGUUACCCGCAGAAGAAGCACCGGCUAACUCCGUGCCAGCAGCCGCGGUAAUACGGAGGGUGCAAGCGUUAAUCGGAAUUACUGGGCGCAAAGCGCACGCAGGCGGUCUGUCAAGUCGGAUGUGAAAUCCCCGGGCUCAACCUGGGAACUGCAUUCGAAACUGGCAGGCUGGAGUCUUGUAGAGGGGGGUAGAAUUCCAGGUGUAGCGGUGAAAUGCGUAGAGAUCUGGAGGAAUACCGGUGGCGAAGGCGGCCCCCUGGACAAAGACUGACGCUCAGGUGCGAAAGCGUGGGGAGCAAACAGGAUUAGAUACCCCAGUAAUC
Molecule: ribosomal RNA, 475 nt
Filed under: uncultured bacterium
Lineage: Bacteria
Description: bacterial SSU rRNA
Rfam family: Bacterial small subunit ribosomal RNA
Source: RNAcentral